Molecule: ribosomal RNA, 511 nt
Filed under: Clostridioides difficile
Lineage: Bacteria; Bacillati; Bacillota; Clostridia; Peptostreptococcales; Peptostreptococcaceae
Description: bacterial LSU rRNA
Rfam family: Bacterial large subunit ribosomal RNA
Source: RNAcentral
GACGUAGACCCGAAACCGGGCGACCUACCCAUGAGCAGGAUGAAGCGAAAGUAAAAUUUCGUGGAGGUCCGAACCCACGGGCGUUGAAAAGCUCGGGGAUGACUUGUGGGUAGCGGUGAAAUUCCAAUCGAGCCCGGAGAUAGCUGGUUCUCCCCGAAAUAGCUUUAGGGCUAGCCUCAAGGUGAGAGAUACGGAGGUAGAGCACUGAAUGUCCUAGGGGGUAUUGCACCUACCGAAGACUAUCAAACUCCGAAUGCCGUCAUCUUAUACUUGGGAGUCAGACUGUGGGUGAUAAGAUUCAUAGUCGAAAGGGCAACAGCCCAGAUCGUCAGCUAAGGUCCCUAAAUGUAAGUUAAGUGGUAAAGGAUGUGGGAUUGCACAGACAACCAGGAUGUUGGCUUAGAAGCAGCCACUCAUUCAAAGAGUGCGUAAUAGCUCACUGGUCGAGUGAUCCUGCGCCGAAGAUUUCCGGGGCUAAAACUUACUACCGAAGCUACGGCAUCAGUAAUGA